UACGGAGGGAGCUAGCGUUGUUCGGAAUUACUGGGCGUAAAGCGCGCGUAGGCGGCUUUGUAAGUUAGAGGUGAAAGCCCGGGGCUCAACUCCGGAAUUGCCUUUAAGACUGCAUCGCUAGAAUCCGGGAGAGGUGAGUGGAAUUCCGAGUGUAGAGGUGAAAUUCGUAGAUAUUCGGAAGAACACCGGUGGCGAAGGCGGCUCACUGGACCGGCAUUGACGCUGAGGUGCGAAAGCGUGGGGAGCAAACAGG
Molecule: ribosomal RNA, 253 nt
Filed under: uncultured bacterium
Lineage: Bacteria
Description: partial 16S ribosomal RNA
Rfam family: Bacterial small subunit ribosomal RNA
Source: RNAcentral